AUUGAACGCUGGCGGAAUGCUUUACACAUGCAAGUCGAACGGCAGCACGGACUUCGGUCUGGUGGCGAGUGGCGAACGGGUGAGUAACAUAUCGGAACGUAUCCAAUAAUGGGGGAUAACGAGCCGAAAGAUUCGCUAAUACCGCAUACGCCCUACGGGGGAAAGCUGGGGACCUUCGGGCCUGGCGUUAAUGGAGCGGCCGAUAUCUGAUUAGCUAGUUGGUGAGGUAAAGGCUCACCAAGCCGACGAUCUGUAGCUGGUCUGAGAGGACGACCAGCCACACUGGGACUGAGACACGGCCCAGACUCCUACGGGAGGCAGCAGCGGGGAAUUUUGGACAAUGGGCGAAAGCCUGAUCCAGCCAUUCCGCGUGCAGGAUGAAGGCCCUCGGGUUGUAAACUGCUUUUGUACAGAACGAAAAGGUUUCUACUAAUACUAGGAGCUCAUGACGGUACUGUAAGAAUAAGCACCGGCUAACUACGUGCCAGCCGCCGCGGUAA
RNAcentral lists this ribosomal RNA (500 nucleotides) under uncultured bacterium. RNAcentral's name for it is "partial 16S ribosomal RNA". It matches the Rfam family "Bacterial small subunit ribosomal RNA", at positions 30 to 523 of the family's 1533-position model. The record is from RNAcentral.